RNAcentral lists this ribosomal RNA (491 nucleotides) under uncultured bacterium. Its description in RNAcentral is "bacterial SSU rRNA". It matches the Rfam family "Bacterial small subunit ribosomal RNA", at positions 29 to 507 of the family's 1533-position model. The record is from RNAcentral.
AGUGAACGCUGGCGGCAGGCCUAAUACAUGCAAGUCGAACGGCAGCACAGCAGAGCUUGCUCUGUGGGUGGCGAGUGGCGGACGGGUGAGGAAUACAUGGGAAUCUGCCCAGUCGUGGGGGAUAACGUAGGGAAACUUACGCUAAUACCGCAUGCGCCCUUCGGGGGAAAGCCGGGGACCUUCGGGCCUGGCGCGAUUGGAUGAGCCCAUGUCGGAUUAGCUAGUUGGCGGGGUAAUGGCCCACCAAGGCGACGAUCCGUAGCUGGUCUGAGAGGAUGAUCAGCCACACUGGAACUGAGACACGGUCCAGACUCCUACGGGAGGCAGCAGUAGGGAAUAUUGGACAAUGGGCGCAAGCCUGAUCCAGCCAUGCCGCGUGAGUGAAGAAGGCCCUCGGGUUGUAAAGCUCUUUUGUCCGGAAAGAAAAAGCGCCGGGUUAAUACCCUGGUGUCCUGACGGUACCGGAAGAAUAAGCACCGGCUAACUUCGUG